RNAcentral lists this ribosomal RNA (425 nucleotides) under uncultured bacterium. RNAcentral's name for it is "partial 16S ribosomal RNA". It matches the Rfam family "Bacterial small subunit ribosomal RNA", at positions 354 to 796 of the family's 1533-position model. The record is from RNAcentral.
GUGGGGAAUCUUAGACAAUGGGCGCAAGCCUGAUCUAGCCAUGCCGCGUGAGCGAUGAAGGCCUUAGGGUUGUAAAGCUCUUUCGUGGGGGAAGAUAAUGACUGUACCCCAAGAAGAAGCCCCGGCUAACUCCGUGCCAGCAGCCGCGGUAAUACGGAGGGGGCUAGCGUUGUUCGGAAUUACUGGGCGUAAAGCGCACGUAGGCGGACCGGAAAGUCAGAGGUGAAAUCCCAGGGCUCAACCUUGGAACUGCCUUUGAAACUCCUGGUCUUGAGGUCGAGAGAGGUGAGUGGAAUUCCGAGUGUAGAGGUGAAAUUCGGAGAUAUUCGGAGGAACACCAGUGGCGAAGGCAGCUCACUGGAUCGAUACUGACGCUGAGGUGCGAAAGCGUGGGGAGCAAACAGGAUUAGAAACCCUAGUAGUCC